CCACCCUUGCUUGGAUGCCAUUGAAACACUGCUAGCUAAAACAUAACUUCGUCCACAAAUUCAUCGUUGCCCUAAGAGUUUGCAGACUUGUAGUCAUAGACUCUGGUGUGCAAACUACAGAGAAUACAUGAAGAAUAUUUCCUGAAUGUCCUUUCUAUUACCUAUCUGUCUCAAGCAAUAGGCUUUGGAGGUUUCAGGAAACCACUGCAUCUGAGCUAGAGAGAUCAAAGAGUAAUCUGGAUUUCCUUGCCUGCAGGUGUUCUCGAUGGCUUCCUUGCCUAGUG
RNAcentral lists this microRNA precursor (284 nucleotides) under Oryza sativa (Asian cultivated rice). Its description in RNAcentral is "miR5489 stem-loop (osa-MIR5489)". Lineage: Eukaryota; Viridiplantae; Streptophyta; Magnoliopsida; Poales; Poaceae. The record is from miRBase by way of RNAcentral.